Molecule: ribosomal RNA, 179 nt
Filed under: uncultured bacterium
Lineage: Bacteria
Description: partial 16S ribosomal RNA
Rfam family: Bacterial small subunit ribosomal RNA
Source: RNAcentral
AGGCGUAAUACCGCAUAAGAUCUACGGAUGAAAGGAGGCCGUCGUUCUUGAAAGCUUUCGCUAUUAGAUGAGCCUAUGUCAGAUUAGCUAGUUGGUAGGGGUAAGUGGCCUACCAAGGCGACGAUCUGUAGCUGGUCUGAGAGGAUGAUCAGCCACACUGGGACUGAGACACGGCCCAG